RNAcentral lists this ribosomal RNA (468 nucleotides) under uncultured bacterium. RNAcentral's name for it is "partial 16S ribosomal RNA". It matches the Rfam family "Bacterial small subunit ribosomal RNA", at positions 28 to 507 of the family's 1533-position model. The record is from RNAcentral.
GACGAACGCUGGCGGUGUGCUUAACACAUGCAAGUCGAACGGAAAGGCCCUGCUUUUGUGGGGUGCUCGAGUGGCGAACGGGUGAGUAACACGUGAGUAACCUGCCCUUGACUUUGGGAUAACUUCAGGAAACUGGGGCUAAUACCGGAUAGGAGCUCCUGCUGCAUGGUGGGGGUUGGAAAGUUUCGGCGGUUGGGGAUGGACUCGCGGCUUAUCAGCUUGUUGGUGGGGUAGUGGCUUACCAAGGCUUUGACGGGUAGCCGGCCUGAGAGGGUGACCGGCCACAUUGGGACUGAGAUACGGCCCAGACUCCUACGGGAGGCAGCAGUGGGGAAUAUUGCACAAUGGGCGGAAGCCUGAUGCAGCAACGCCGCGUGCGGGAUGACGGCCUUCGGGUUGUAAACCACUUUCGCCUGUGACGAAGCGUGAGUGACGGUAAUGGGUAAAGAAGCACCGGCUAACUACGUG